This 10086-nucleotide unclassified non-coding RNA is filed under the name Daphnia pulicaria. RNAcentral's name for it is "uncharacterized LOC124330764, transcript variant X9". Lineage: Eukaryota; Metazoa; Arthropoda; Branchiopoda; Diplostraca; Daphniidae. The record is from RNAcentral.
GUGGCAAUUCUCCAUCGGCAGCAGUGGAAGUUCCGGCGACGGCAAGACAUCCGGAACAAUCGGACGGACACCUACUGUGAUGCACCCUGGAAUAACAGGAAUCACUUUCGGAUGUUUGUGAAUAGGCGUGAUAAUGAGUGACAUCCUCAUCGGAUGUUGUCGUCGUCGUCGUGGCGAUGGACCCGUGCUCGUUGCCUCCCACUUCCGCCUUCUCCUCGCUGCUGGAACGGUCGGGCGUUCGCCAUGGCACCAGAAUGUCUUGGGAUUCAAACUGCCCGUCGAACAACCAGCAGUUUGUGUCAAUGCAAUUGACGUCAUCAUCAAGGAUUUAACAAAAAUCGGAAAAAGAAGGGGCCAUUAGGAGACGAUUCCAUUUGGGCGUACACAUCGCAACAUUUAUGGGAGACAGCCACCCAACAACAAAAGAAAAGAAGAAGAAAGCACGUCUGAAAAACAGCCGUUUUCCUUCCCCCCCCCCCCCCCCCCCCCAGAGACUACGCUGUGCGUCGUGAUGGAUCCGGCAGUCAAUAAAAAAGCCCAAACGGUGAUGAGGAUGCGUCCGCCCACUCGCAGGAUCCGCGCCAAUUCCCGCAACGCCCGCACUCGCCUGUCUCUCGUCGCCAGGGCUGGGUGGGGGUGGUGUGGGUUAUAACUUACUGAAUGACGGCGAUAGACAAUGCGGCGUCGAAGCUCUCGUCGCGAUAUGGCAGGUUGAGAGCGUCACAAAUCAGCACCUGUUUAGGAGAGAUAACGACAAAAGCCGCCGCAGUGAGAAAUUCCGACCACAUGUGUGUUGUUGCUGCAUCAGCCAAUUGUGACAGGGAUGGCGUGACCCUGGAUUAUUAUCAUGUUCUUCACUCCAAACAGAAUUGAAGAAGAAGAAGAAGAUAUUUGACGGAGAAGAAGCAACGCGGGAGCGGGGGGAGUCAUCUCUCCUCCUCCUGGUCCGUCAGACCGUGCAGCGUGUUCCAUGGCCAGUCCCGAGGGCAGCAAAAAGGGAUCAUCGUCGGGAGGUCAACAACAACAACAUCGUCGCCGAAGCAACAGCCACAACAACGAGAACAGCCCGCAGAGCAGCUCGGCUGCGAGCUCGUCGUCGUCGAGUCAUCACCAGCAGCUGAGUCUGCGGGCGCCGGUGAUCCGGCAUCGCGAUCCCAAGGCUCCCGUCGUCAUCAGCGGUUGGCUCUUUAAACAAGGCAGCGAUGGCCUCAUGUUAUGGAAGAAGCGAUGGUUCGCCCUCUCCCAGUACUGCCUCUUCUACUACGACGGUCCUGAAGAGGAGAAAGUCUUGGGUUCGUUGCUACUUCCCGGCUACACGAUCCGGCCGUGUUUGGCGGGAGAUCGGGACCGAUUGGUUUACCGCAAAUACGCCUUCAAAGCCGAGCACCGCAACACUCGCAGCUUCUAUUUGGCCGCCGAUUCUCGACCGUCUAUGAUCCAGUGGAUGAACGCUCUCAGCUUGGCCGCCAUCCUACAAGAUUCCAAGAGCCUGUCCAUCACAUCCGAGUUGAACAAGAGUCAAUUGGACGUGUCCAGUGGAUCCGCCGCUCUCAACGGAAGUCGUCGUUCCUCCAAGGCCGUCGUCGCAGAGAACAAAGCGCAAGGGGUUGAUGCGUCGUUCGACUCGACGGCACCCGAUCAGCCGACAGGUCAAAGGCAGCCGUUGUACGCCAACGCUCCACCGAAACCGAGACGGGCGUUGAACACGAGCCGAGAUUCGUAUUGUUCGAGUUCGCCGGAUCGGUCACCGGAACGACCAGUUGUGGUGGCAUCAUCGACACCUUCGACGGCGGCGGCGGCAGGUAAAACAACAAUCCAAUCUGCCGAAGGAGGAGGAGGAGCGUCGCCGUUUGAAUUGCAAGGCAACAACCGUACGUCGGCGCCAUCUAGUGCAAUGUACGGACAACACCAGCAAGUGGCCGUUCGCCAGAUGCAGCGCGGCCAGUUUCAGAACGGCGGUCGAGGAUGGCCUCAUCAACAACAACAGCAGAUGCCAAGGCCCGUCUCGGCAGAAGUGACGACGCUGUUGCAGCAGCAACAACAACAAUCUCAACAACAGACGAUGAUGAGGCAUCGCAACAGUCCCCACCAGCUGCCGGCCGAACGACGGACGCCGGACGCCUACGGCCGAUUCAAAACCGAGUACGAAGAUGUUUACAACAAUAGCAGCACGGCCAGUUCGACCAAUUCGCCUCAAAUGCUUCCGGCGGGAUCGUCACCCGCCGCCGCUUCCUCCUCCAAGGCGUUUGUAGUGGCCCACAGGAGCGAAGUGGCCCGUCGGGUGCCUCCCAGGCCUCACAGUGUAGACUUUCUUCAGUAUCCGACCAUACCGGGCACUCCGCCACUACAACAACAACCCAGUGACUAUUGGUCUUCCGAACAAAAAUAUGCCCAGCAGGUCAGACAGUCGGUCAUGCGCAACUACCCGCGCGAACAGCAACCGGCCGACAAUGUUCAGCUGGCGCCAAAGGAAUCGGAACAACCAUCAACACCUCAACAGCAGCAACAGCUACAACAACAACAACAUCAACGUCGAGUAGUGCGUGAUCCGGCAGAAAUAUCUCGAGACGUGAAAGAGAGCGCCCUCUGGUCCUAUGUCCAGGCAGCUGGACAGCCGCAUCUAUCCGGUGCUCAUCACCGCCCACCGGGCAAGACGAUCCUAUCAGCUUCUCAGGAGAAUCUGAUGGCCGAAGAAUCUUUAGCUCUUUAUCGUACAGGCCACGAGGGUCAUCAGCAGCAGCAACCACAACAGCAACAACCGCAACUCUUUCACCGCUCCGCCAGCGCCCGGCUGCCCAAAAUGGCCAAACAACAGCCGGAUUUGCUCAAUUCAUCGCUGGCCGAUCAUCCGCUCGAAAUGGAUAACAAACGAAUCGAGCAGAGAGAAGAAUCGAUGAAACGGUUGCUGGAAUGGAAGCAGAGGAUGUUGCAGUCGCCGUUAACAAGGAAAAGCGGCAACAGUGUCGUGAGUGGGGGAAGUGGCGCCCGCAGCAGCGAACGGAGUACGCCGACCCUCGCCGAUAGAGACGAUCCGUCUCCGCGGAUGCGGAUCGACUCUCCCCUUCUCCAUCCGCAGCAGCAGCAGCAGCAGCAGCAACUGCAUCAGCAGCCAAGCCCCAUCCAGUUGGCGGAUUACGGAGGAAAUGGAAACGUCGCCAUGGGCAAUUUCGCCACGAUGAGGCGGACGGUGGCGCGGGCGGCGCAAGAUCUUCUCGUUCAGGAGCAACUCUACCAGCAGCAACAACAGCAGCAGCAGCAACAACAACAACAACAGCCACCGCUUCCACUGAAUGUGGCCUUCCGGGCCUCGUUGAAACGUCCGGCCGCCAACAACGAGAAAAUCAAAAUUCAACUGGACGAAGAGGCCGACGUCCGCAAGGAGUUCACCUACGAGUACGUUUUGACGGAGCAGUCGCGAGAGGGAGACGGAGCUGCGUGCCAAGAGCCGGAAGACCCGGUGCCGAAAGUGUCGUGGCCCAGGCCGUCGCUCAUGAGGGAGAAAUCGAGCGCCGUAGCCGAUUUGAGGGCCCGCAGUGAGAGUCCGUCGGCCAAUCGAGUUCUCUUCUUGAAAGAUGUCCAGCAAGCCCAACAGAUGUCGCCGCUGAAAGCCCGGCCCAAACCGCCGCCCAAGCCCAGCCUUCACGAUCUCCAGCAGGCGUUCCAGAUCAAGCGGAACGGAAUCAUGACCCAUCACCACAUGAUGAUGUUGGAAGAGGAUCAGCUGUCGAUGGAUCAGCAGCAACGCUUGAGCUACGCCGAGUCGUUGCCGGAAUCGCUGGCCGGUUUCGCCGCCACCAUCGUCUCCGAGGACGGGAUGAGUCCGUGCCCGUUCGAGCCGACCGUUUCGCCGCUCAUUUCCGAAUGCGAUUGGCCCCACAACACGACCGGAAAUGGAUCGUCUCCGGCCCCGCUUCCAGAUUUGAUGUCACUCGCCUCGGUCACUUCCGGCCACCUGAGAAGUCGCAGCCGCAGCUGUGGCGGCGGAAGCAUCCACGCCGCGUCGGAGAACCUCUACAUGAACACGCAAAUGACCGCGGAAUUGGAAGCUGAUCAAUCCGGAUCGGGUUCCGUCAUGGAAGAUCAUUACCUGCCCAUGACGUCGACCAAACUCGUCUCGGCUCGCUCUCCUCCGCCGCUUCCGGCAGCCAAUCACUACCACUUCGAGGAAAACGCCUACGUUGAGAUGACGGACAACGGGAAGAUCAAGACUUCGCCACCUGGUGGCGGAAUCAACGGCCGGGCUGGCAGCAGUAAACCUUCGUCCGUUUUCGCCGGAGUUUUCGAUCCCUCCUAUCGGUCGCCGGAAAGUCCGCGCUACAGCGAAAUCACCGACUGUCCUUCCGGUGGAAGAGAACAACAGGAAGAAGAUCAGCCGCAUUACGAGUUCAUCUACAAAGCGUCCAGCCAGGCAGAGCCGGUCUACAUGGAAGUUCCGCAGGGCGAAGAAGAAGAGGAGGAAGAUGCGGAUGAAAAUGCGGACGAAGGCAGGAGAGCAGAUGGCGGUGAUGGCGAAAGAGAAGACGAACUGGAAUCGCAGGACGGAAUCCAGGAACGUCAUACCAGCAGUGCCAUGGACACAACGGCCCUGGAGGAGAUGGAUGACGGUGGAAGACCUUUGGAGCUAAUCAUCACUCCUCCCCGCCAUCCGCGCUUCAGCAUCUCUGACACAUUCCGCCCGGCUUCCUAUUUCUUGCGAUUGGAGACGAUUCCGGCGACGGAAGAAAACGGACUGGAUGAUCAAGCUUACGGACAAUCGGAUGAUCAAUCCGACAGUGAACUGGUUUCUCCUCCGCCCAUUCCCACCAGUCCGCCGCCGACGACCAGCGAGUUUCCAAGUUUCCAGCAGCUGCAUCACAACAAUCAACUCCAUCGGCCGCCGAUCCAUCACAGCCGAAGUCAGAGUCUAGACACGUCUCAAGACUACUUCCAAGGUCGAACGUCUCGAAAUAGUAUCACAUCCGAAUUGUGCCACAGCCAUGGCCGUCCGCCUUCCGACUUAUCUCAGAGGCGGAGACCUUUGACAAUUGUCCGAAGUUUGGAGGAUUUGUUGGUGGACUCGAGCGACGACCACUUGGCCGCUCUGACAUCGGCACACAACACGUCGCGAAUCUCGGUCGCAUUCCAGGGCAGCACCCAAAGUUUGGCCUCCAAUGGCAUCCGCAAUGCGGAAUCUUGGAACCAGCCGCUCUAUGAAAAUGUCUCGCAGAAUGUUGGGGGCCACGUCAGGCAGGCGUCUAGGAUCAGCAUCGCAUCGAAUGCGAGUCGGCGGAUGAGUUCGUCUCCGGCCGGAUCGAUGCAUUCUGAACAUCAGCAACAACAGCAACAGCAGCCGCAACCGCAGCAACAGCCGCAACCGCAACAACGCCCUCGUUUGGGUUCAGCCUUGUCACUCAAUUCCAACUCGUCAUCCAUCUGCCGGAGUGAGCAGAGCGCGGGAGCGCCUUAUUACUAUUCCGAUUUGCUGAGCAAAACGCCGACAACUCCGCCCGACGCCAGUCUGGAGGACGGCAACAGCAGCCUCCGCUCGUCCAGUUCCAGGAGCGCUCAAGCCCAAGCGGCCAAACAGGCCUACCAGCACAGCAUGGAUCGACUGCGCACUGUUCAACGCCGAUCCUCUCCGCAGGAAUCCAGCGGAAGAUUGGGAAGCACUUCGAAUUUAGAUUGCCACCAGACGCCAACCAGUUCCGGCCAAUCGCGCUCGGAGCCCAGGCAGUUAUUGGAAACGAUCCGGAAGCAGCAGCAGCAACAACAGCAGCAGCAGCAGCAACAACAACAACAACAUCAACAACAACUGUAUCAACGCGCUCAAACGCCGGAUUUGCUGGCCAACCACCCGGAACAAGAGUCGUUUUAUUACGCCAAUGGGAGAGGGCUGUCGGCCGCCACGCGUCCGUCGAUUGCUGGCGAUGUGAUGCGACGGGUUCGCUCCCUGGAAGGUCUCCUGGAUGAAGAUCCGAAUCGAUCGAUUCAGCGCUCGGAUUGGAUUGAUCCGCAACCCAAUCGAUCAUCGGUGGCUUCCCACGCCAGCUACGGGACCAAUGGGUCCGUAGUCGGCGGUGGUCAGGGGCAGAGCUCGGCCGCAGCUGAGACGCCUCGUUACGCCCGAGAUCCGACAACUCGCGGCCAGGCCACCAAAACCCUUCCGUCGCACGUCCGCUCUCCGCAAGGAAGUGUGGGCGUCGACUUUGUCGGUGGCGAGUUCUCACCGUGGGACGAGGAUCAAUUGUGGCGCGACAAAUUGAGGCGUGCCAGUAUCCGGCACACGCGCUCCAUGGACAUGCUGGACGAGAUCCAUCACGAUGGCCACCCGGAUAGUAGGCACCAGUCCAAUGGGAAAUCCAUCCUUCCGGCCGAAGAGGAUUGCUACGAGCGGCUGCUCCAGUACUCGGCCACUCUGGAGCGGACCAAGCGCGGCCAGACUUACCUGGACGGCUACACUUGGGACGAAAUGGAACAGCGUUUCCGCGAGCCGGGCGGCCAGACGAAGCAGCGCGGCAAGGAAACGUCUUCGGCUCUGCCUCCGCUGCCGCCGGCUCCGCCUCCGGCGUCGAAUCACUCGACAUCGACCGGCCACCUGGUCAUCAACAACAACAACAACAGCCCGUCGCAUCCUUUUUUAGAGGACGGCCUCCCCCCUCCUGCUUUCGAAAUUGACCGCGAGAAACUGCGUCAAUGGGAUCUCAUGUCCACGGCACCUGUUCCGUCGUCGUCGUCAUCGACGGCCGCUCUGCCCGACAAUCAAGCCAUCAACAAGGAGGGAGGGAGGCGUCCGGCUGCUGAUAGCAGUAGCAACAACACCAUCACCGCCACCAAGGCUGGCCAUCCGCCGCCAUCAUCACCGCCGCCACAACAACCACCACCGCCGCCGCCAACAUCCAGCGAAUCCAUUAACAGAAAACCCACAACAACAACAACGACAACAACAUCACCACCACCAUCACAACCACCACCCCCUGUCCCGUCCACUCCAAUCCAGGCCAUCCGUCCGUCCCCAUUCCACCAGCUAGUGCCGCCCGACCUUGUCCGCACUCCCGGUGGAUCGAGCCCGGUUGAUGCUGUAGCGGCAGGACUCAAUCACGCAGCGACUGGAGCAGCCGGCAAGGCCAUCAACGGUAUCAAAGUUGCCUACAACCAGAGUGGUUUGACGGGCAAAGUUUCCUCCACUCUGGUGACGACUCAACAGCCUCCGUCCACCACCAAUCACAUGAUGACGGGCGAGAUUUAUCACUCGGACACGGAUACACCGCCCAAGAAAGGUAAAUUGCCUCCGAUGAUCGGUCACGACCAGCCGUCCUCUCAUAACGGCAACCGACAACCAGGCGAUAAUAAAGUGCAGCUGUCGGCGGGCGACCUCCUGGGCCGGACACAUGAGGAACUGGUUCUCCUCUUGAUCCAACUGAGGCGGCAGAGUUCCGCUUUGGUCAAAGCACGUGACGCCUGCCUCCUCGAAAUGGAAAGCCAGGUCAAACUGGCUGCGCUGGAUAUUUCUCAUCGACAAGAAUGCCUGAUAAAAACCGGAGAGCUGAAGCACCACGUCAAAGAGCUGGAGAAGCAACUGGAAAAACUCAAGCCAAUGAUCAGCCUGGUGGACAACAUGGUCAAACUGGGUUCGUCAAUGUCACCGCAAAGACACAAAAGACUGCCCAAACCAGAAACCAGCACAGCUGUCAAGCGCAAUUUGACACCUAUGCUUCACCAACAGCAGCAGCAGCAGCAACAACAACUGCAACAUCAACAACAGCAGCAGAUACAACAACCGAAAUUUCAUUCCUCUCCCUAUGAGCCCCCUGCGUACAGCAACGUCCAGCAGAGGAACAGCACAAUGGUGUUCCACUCUACUCCACAUCGUCCAACUGAGAACGACGCCAAUGAGGCGUACGGAUCUGCCGUCCAGGGCUGGGAGGAGGCUCAGAUUUCUCAGCUCGAGUCCAAGCAUCACCAGCUGGCUCAGUUGGAGAAAUUCGUUCGUGAGGAAGGCGCGGCCAUCCAUCGGCUGACGCGCAAUCAGCAAGUCCUGAGACUAGCCAUCCGCGGGAUCCGACAGCAGACCAACACGGCCCUGCAAGUCGCCGACUAUGGCGAGGUGGAGCGGUGCCGCCAGCAGCAGCUCUUUCUCGAGCGUGAGCUAAGCCAAAUUCACUCUCUGCUGGCCCUCAGUUCGAAACGGCUGGAAGACGCCGCGGUGGAGAUCAGUCGGAUAGAGCGAGAAAUCUCUUCACUUCAUCAGCAGUUGCAUCGCCUCGGAGCCAAUAACCGCCAACAUCACCAAUCCGGUGGAGGUCAUUCGUUGAGCAGGUCCAACAACGGAAGGGAAAUGGCUUGGCUAGAGGCGGAAUUGAACCGCGUCCAGCAACACGUCUCGCAGUUGCAGACGAGGCGACAGGAACUCAGCAGCCAAGUCAACUGCCUGACGUCUGCCGAUUAUUUCCUAGAUCUUGACGAAUCCUUUUCCAGCACCGGAUCGACCAAACGCAAACCUCCUAGCACCUGGUGCGAGACGGACUUGGACUCGCUGAACACGACCGAUCGCUUAACACGAAUGGAAGAUCCGUCUGCGAUGAAUUUCGGUGGAUCGCAGCAUCAUCAGCCGCAUCAACAGGAGCAACAACAACAACAUUAUCAGUACGGCCAGUACGAAGAUAACACGUUGCCCGUCGACAUCAAUGAAGCUGACGAAAGGAUGAAGAGAUACUACGGUAUCGUCCCCAAGCAACCAGCUCCGCCUAUCAGCGCCGCUUCCGCCGCCGACAAGGCAGAAAUCCGCACGGUUCGCAUCGUCAAGCGGGAGUCGGAAAAGCGUCAACGCGACAAGUCCAAAUCUCGAUACGACGACAAUUCUUUCGGAAUGGACGAACUCACCGAAGAGGAUCAAGCCCACGGCAACUCGAAUGGUUUAUACAGCGAGGAUCCCAUCAUGGACGAUCCGGUUUUGUCCCAGUUUAGCCACGUUUUGACGCUGCCCAGGCGGGGUAGCAAACGGGACGAGCAAGGCAAGCGCUCCCUGUCGCAGCGCAAUUCCAUCGCAUUGAAUGAAACUCCAACGGACGGGCGGCCUCUUUCUCUCGGCCCGGAUCAAUGGAGAGGAUCACUCCGCCCUCGCCGCAAUAUGUCUUCGUUGUCACUUGGAGAUCGAAAUUCGUCCGUCAGUUUGGACAUGGACACGGGAGAGUCGUCGGAAGGAGGACUGGGAAGCCUGGAUUCGACUCAGCGCUCGCCCGUCCUCACGCCCGUCUAUACUAGCGAUGCCGCACGUGAAAUCAUCGAAGAAAUGCGCCGACAGGACAUGAUUUCGGCCCGCCGGGCCGUGCCCCGGCAUAAAAGACGCCACAUAACCAUAUCCUGUAGUCAACCCCUUGUCCUAGAAGCCCUGACCUCUGAUACGCGCAUGACGCAGGGCCGGGCUAGAGAUGACGUUGAUUUGCAGCGAGCAUUGCGCUUCCACCAUCCAUUUGCGCCGGAUGUGGUCCGAUCCACCAUCACUCAGGCCAUCCGCAUCAACGAGAAGACGAUCGAUAACAUACUUUGUGCUCCAGACAAGAUCGUCAUUCCCGAACGCUACGUACCCGAGCAGGAAGUGGAGGAACUGGGAGAGGAGGAGAAGCAGAAACGGCUCAAGAAAACCGAGUCCAUUCGGCGUAUGCUGACGGGCUAUUCCACCGGUGUUGAUCUACCGCGACCUCCAUCCAUCGCCGCCACCAAUGACAUCGUAGAAUUGUCGGAAGCCAAGCAGAUGUUGGCCAAGGAACGCCAGCAACGCGAUCAUUUCAUCGGCCUCAACCAGAUGUUGGUGGAGGAAAUUAAAGAGAAGAGCAAGAUGGCCGCAGCUCCGAGCCUGAGCAUGGAAAGCCAGUAUGCGGCUUGACGCAAAUAAAAUGCAAGUCAAUAAAUUGCGCGACUCCUCCUACUCCUUCCCGUACCCUCCCACUACUGUAGCGUUCAGCACUCUUCCUCAUCGUUCACGCUUUGGCCAACAUGAAGUCGAGACGGGAAAACAGCAGCGAAGAGGACGACUGGUCACCGCCCGCCGAUCCAUUGCCCAUCUAUCAACAGCGCUACAACUACCUCACGUGAGCUGACACACACACG